Molecule: transfer RNA, 72 nt
Filed under: Camelus bactrianus (Bactrian camel)
Lineage: Eukaryota; Metazoa; Chordata; Mammalia; Artiodactyla; Camelidae
Also listed under: 3 other names
Rfam family: tRNA
About the family: Transfer RNA (tRNA) molecules are approximately 80 nucleotides in length. Their secondary structure includes four short double-helical elements and three loops (D, anti-codon, and T loops).
Source: Rfam by way of RNAcentral
GAGGGUAUAGCUCAGUAGUACAGUACAUGCUUAGCAUGCAUGAGGUCCUGGGUUCAAGCCCCAGUACCUCCA